GUUCAUGGGGUCACGAAGAGUCGGACACAACUAAGUGACUAACACUUUCACUUUUUCAAGAUGGUCAUCAAGCCAAGGUGCCCCUCUCAGUGUAGUCACUUUGAGCUCAUGUGGAUGAAGGCUCUACCCUGGGUGUCAUCUACCUUCUUGCCUGAUAGAAAGGAAGAGCAUGGAGCAGCUCCUAGAGGAGGUUAUCUAGAGGCCAGGCCUCAAAGUGGUGCAGGCGCUUCUGUGCAGUCAUUGGCUGGACUCAAUCACAUGGUCAUGUGUAAUGCAAGGGAGCCUGGGAAACAUAGUGUGCACAGGAAGAAAAGACUAUGGCUUUGAGUGAGCCAUCUGCCACAUGCCUUAUAUCAGUCUAUCCUUGGACUCCCUAGUGAUCAAGAUUCUGGAUCAAUAAUCUCUGCUUGAGAAGAACAGGUUCACAAAAGGAUCUGGGCCUCAGACUUGGGACUUCUGUCUUUCCGCCUACUCUGACAUGAGAGAGGGGCCAACGCCGUUUGCCACGAUGCACAGAGAAUCCAAGAGGGCCCUGCGUCCUGGAGGUGCUUUCUUCAGUUGCCACCUCUGAGGCCUGUUAUUCAAAGACCUACAUGACAACAGGAUGAAAGAAAAAGUCCUCACCUGCACACCAAUGAAAACCAAGGAACUUCUAAAGGACCUGAAGCACAAGGCAGUUAACCUUUCUUUUCAUGAGGCAGACUUCACUAACACCUUGUGAAGGAGAUUGAUGAUUCUUUCACCACCAAGGUACUAUUUCAGUGUCGAGUUAGUUCCUAGUCUCUCAGUCCUAUACCCCCCCUCAGGAGUAAGUCUGCAAGUAAAUCAUGGUGUCAUCUGUAAAGAGGAUCUAAUGUAGUUACUUUAUUCUCCUCACUCCCAGGGAACUUAAUGAACACUCACCUUUACCAGUGAGUUCCAGGGAUAGUUAGGAAAAAAAAUGAAGUCCAAAUGGCAUUAAUUUUUGGUGUUCCCUAAAUAGGAGACACCAGAAAUUGUAUGACCACCCCUGCUGGCGCAACCCCAGGAGACUGCUUUUCUAGUUUCUAUCCCUGCUAUCUAAUAGGAAAGGCAUCAAUAGUUGCCAAUGUUCCUUUGAUCCAGAUUUGCUGCAUUAUUCCUGUGAGCUCAAGGCAGGAAACACAUAUAACUAACUUUAUGUCAACAAAGCCAGGGAAACCAAGUACAGAGACAGACUACAAGUACCUUGUUUUCAAAUACUUUCAAACACACCAAAAACACAUUUCAAGAUUUGACUGAAGGAGGGAAAAAGGUAAGAAAACUACAGCAAUCUAAGACAGGGGUCAGCAAACUAUGUGGCCCGUGAGCCACAUCCAGCUUGUUGCCUGUUUUUGUAAACAGUUUUACUGUAACACAGCAAGCUCAUUUGCUGUUUUGUCUACGGCUGCUUUCUAGCUACAGUGGCAAAGUCACAGAGGCUGCAUGGCCUGGGAAGUCCUUUACAGAAAAAGUCUGCACAUCCCUGAUCUAAGGAAUAGGAAGUCUUUAGGGCCCAUCUAAAAUCUUUAAAAUCAGUGAAGACAAGUGAGGCCAGUUCAGUCUUAAUGAUUCACUUGCCUCAGAGACAGACUGAAACGCACAUGGCUCAUAUUGGUGGAUCAUUGCAGGCCUUUGAAAUUUAACUCGUAGGUAUGCUUCCGGAUGUCAAGCAAAAGCACCACACUGAAGAUGGGUGUUACCCUGAUUGUAGUCCAAGUCCAAAUAGAUUUUCCUGUAGCUCAACAACUGAUAAUAACUGAAACUAAGUUCCCCAUCCUUUUGAUGAGAGGUACAAAGAACAGGUAGCUCAACAUAAGGAAUUUUCUAAGAACUAGUACAGUCAACGAGAUCUGAGGUUCCCAAACUGAAGAGUCAGAGGCACUGCAGCAAAUUCUGAGGGGUCCCACCAAGUAUUUUGUAUCUUUGAGGGAAACUGCAAUACCUGACGUCUAUUAUGCCAUGUGAACUACUAACUCAAGGCAGUUAACAAUUUUGACAUCAGAUUACACUACAUCCCUUUCAAAGAUGUCAUGUCUUUGCAAAGCCGGGCUUUGGCAGUUGCUAUGAUAAAAAUCAAGUACCUUAUGAAAAUAUAAGUGUGGAACAAGAAAUGAAGGUGGCAAUGUUUCAUAUGAUCCCAAGGUUUGAGAAACUUUGCUACUUAAUGGGGGGGUUAAGUAACUAAAACUAUUUUAUUAAAAUGAAAAUACUAUUUUCUUUCAAUUAUGUUUAUUAUUUUUUCAAGUGGGUAUGAACUUAUUAUAUAUACAGCCAAGACUUGUCACGCAGUUCUUACACCUCCUAAUCUCAUUUUUUCUCUCUGGAACAAAGGGGAAAUUAAGACCUUCACUCCACUUUUCCAUAUAUUGGUCAAAAGGCCUAAAUAACUUAAGGUUUUAGAGCACUACAUGGGGAGAUGUAGAGUUAAUAUAGUCACUGCUGCAUAUAAUCAGGGACCCAUGGAACUUUACAUCUUCCCUAUUUGUGACCAGAAGAACAGGUUCAUACCUAAGUCCACCUGAAAGGCUCCUUGGUUACUCAGAAGUCUUAUCUAUCAAAGGCGAGAGGCCAGGCUGAAUCAGAAAAUGGAAGUUACAUGAAUAGUACAUUCCAAGAUAAUGUGAUUGUUCUGGACAGUCUACAGAAGCAUGAAAUAAACUUUAACACCUGCAAUUUACAAGAUAAGAUUCAUCACUAUUCCAGCUCCCAAGAAGCCAAGACUCAUGAAACCAAAACCAAUCAAAUCGAAAUCUCAGAUCAAAUCUAAGACCAAAAAAGUAAAAGGUGCCUCUGCACUGUUCUAUGUUACUUCCAGUGUUUCAGUGUUUCUCCUUCAAAAUACUCAGCCUAUCUACAUUUGUUUAAAAUCUGUCUUUAUUAGAAGCUCCAGGAUGGAACAGAUGAUGUCUUCCUGGUUCAGUUACAUUCCUCCAGAGUUACAGUGAGCAGAGGAAUACCCCUACUUUGGCUGUUUGCUAGAAUUAAUCCCUUCUUUCCAACAAUCUUCAUUCCUACUAGAGAAAUCUGAUGGGUGGGAAAAGAGGAAGUAGUCAUUGUCUUUUAUUCUAUGGAGGACUCUGGUCACAGCAAAUGUAUCAUGCAGGAAACAUCUAUCUGUAAGGGGAAGACAGGUGGAUCCUGAACAUAUUAAGUACAGAAACCCUUCCUUCAAAAAAAAAAAAAAAAAAAACCUUAGAGAAACACUGAAAUAUAACAUAGUUAAAAACAAAGUUGUUUUGAUUGAAGUAAGAGAGGUAACCCAGAGCGUUGCAUCCUCAGCUACCUUCUGGGAAAUACUAGGAGUCCGAACCCUAUUAUACCUGGGGUUCUGCCCACUUCUAAAUGCAAUGAUUUUAACAUCAAUUUCAAGUAAAGUAAAACUCCACUAAAAUGUGCCUAGCUUGUCUACAGAUCUAAAUUUAUAAUGGGCCAACUAUAGCAAUGAAUUUUUUUCUCAUCAGAAUGCUAAGGUCAGAAAGUCAGAGCUUCUUAAUCAUCUCCUGGCUUCAUCUCAACAGGGACUAGGCAUCAGCUCCUAUGAAAAAGAGAUGGGAGAGGAAAACUGCCUCCUUGCAUACAGUACAAAUGAGGACAUGCUGUCAGUUAAACCACACAAAACUGACAGGGAGGGCAGCAUCACUACUACAAAACAAAAAGUACCACUGAUGGAAUCUGGGUAUGGCUGAAAAGGCACCACUGUAGAUCUGGAUUCCUCAUAUCUCCAACUAGUUUAAACAACCCAUUCAGUCCACCUCUACUUUUUUUCAAUAAAUGAAUAAGGUCUUUUCUAGCUUUAGAUUUCUGUGAUGCUAAACUAACAUGAUGUUUUCUUAAGUACAUAAGGUGUUUUUUGUUUUUUUAUAAGGUGUUUUUAAAGCUAUUAUUUGGGGUAUUUGUUCUAACGUGAGAGGUUAUCUUCAUCAGUCAACACAUGUGGCUCAAAACUAAUCCCCAGCCAAAGAAGGAAAUUACUGGCGUCACAAACUACUCAUCCACCUUAGUCUUUACUUCACAAGGUUUGGGUUUCACAGUAGGAGAGCAGCUCAACCAUUCUCGAGCACUAAAGCCUCUAAUUAAGGCAAGCACUGUUGGGGCAAACAAUUCUGGAAAUUCCCUGAUGGUCCAGUGGUUAGGACUCGGCAUUUUCACUGCCGUGGGCCCAGGUUCAAUCCCUGGUUAGGGAACUAAGAUCCUGAGAACUGCUCACUGAGGCCAAAAAUAAAACGAAACAAACCAAUUCUCUUUGAGAAAGGAAUUGCAAAUGGAAGCAAAAUUAAUCCGGUGACUACUCUCUCCUGGGCGUUAGCUAGCUAUUUCCACAGUAAAUGAAUGCUAUUCCCACACUCCCGCCCAGCGCUCACUCACAGGGUCUGCAACAGAUGUCGAGUCACAGCCGCCAUGCGCAUAGCACCAUCUUGGCUGCUGCCAUCUUACGAACUAAGUGAAAACAUGAGGCUAGAAACUUGUUUUCCUUAUCCUCCAAAUUCUAAGUGGGAAAAAGUGUGUGACCUAGACAACACAUAAUUCCUUUCUCAUCAAAACCAGGGCACAAUACUUUUCGGUCACAACAUGAUCUCAAAAUAUACACAUUUUAAAAGCACACAUUUUUUCCAGUCAAACCUGUAGACCUAACCCUCCUUCACACCACUCUUCAGAAUGCAAAAGAAAAACUUUAAAUCCAGUAAUACCAGACUUUCAUAUAAAUUUCAGCUCACUGUACAGCCUAAUACUUAGGCAACUCCCACUCCUCAGUGUAUAAGCAUGAUCCAAAGGAUUUUAGAGAUUUCCACUUAGAAAAAUAUAUUAAUACUUUAGCCCCUUCUCUGUUAACCUGCACCUCCACCUAAGUAACUUCAGCCUAUGCUCAUGAAAUUUAGCUACUUGCUUAAUUAAAGCUGUCAUAUCUGAAAGGCUCUGAAAGACAGGAAAGCAUGCCACUUCUACACUAGCUUUUAUGCUGAACCACUACCUCUGCAUAACUCAGAAAGAAAGGGAGGGAGGGAGGGAGGGAGGGAGGAAGAGAAGAGGUAAGAGACAAAGCUGUGAGUGCUAAAGACAAGAAUACAAUGCAAUGGUUGGCCAGAGGAGAUGGGCUACCAAAGAUAACUAUUCACCAGUAAAAGGUAAAAAUUUAUUCCUCAGGAGGAACUGGUUUCUUGAGUAUAAAAUGCAUCAAACAGCAAAGACCAAGUAAACCUGCUGCUUCUUGGAAUCAAUAUUUUUGGGUUCAAUG
Molecule: non-coding RNA, 5233 nt
Organism: Odocoileus virginianus texanus
Lineage: Eukaryota; Metazoa; Chordata; Mammalia; Artiodactyla; Cervidae
Source: RefSeq, a predicted model, not a curated record